Molecule: ribosomal RNA, 465 nt
Filed under: uncultured Klebsiella sp.
Lineage: Bacteria; Pseudomonadati; Pseudomonadota; Gammaproteobacteria; Enterobacterales; Enterobacteriaceae
Description: bacterial SSU rRNA
Rfam family: Bacterial small subunit ribosomal RNA
Source: RNAcentral
CCUACGGGUGGCUGCAGUGGGGAAUAUUGCACAAUGGGCGCAAGCCUGAUGCAGCCAUGCCGCGUGUGUGAAGAAGGCCUUCGGGUUGUAAAGCACUUUCAGCGGGGAGGAAGGCGGUGAGGUUAAUAACCUCAUCGAUUGACGUUACCCGCAGAAGAAGCACCGGCUAACUCCGUGCCAGCAGCCGCGGUAAUACGGAGGGUGCAAGCGUUAAUCGGAAUUACUGGGCGUAAAGCGCACGCAGGCGGUCUGUCAAGUCGGAUGUGAAAUCCCCGGGCUCAACCUGGGAACUGCAUUCGAAACUGGCAGGCUAGAGUCUUGUAGAGGGCGGUAGAAUUCCAGGUGUAGCGGUGAAAUGCGUAGAGAUCUGGAGGAAUACCGGUGGCGAAGGCGGCCCCCUGGACAAAGACUGACGCUCAGGUGCGAAAGCGUGGGGAGCAAACAGGAUUAGAUACCCGGGUAGUC